UCAAACAUAGGCCAGCCAAGCAGGGCCAGCAAUAAGCUACUUGCAGCUGAGGGAGCAGCACCAACCAGGUCCCCUGCGGCGUGGAACAUUCUGGAGUUCUGAGGGAAAAGCAGGAAGAGUGAAAGAUUAAAAACAGUUUGCAGGUCUGUGAAUUUAAGAAGAGAGAAGUUCCCAAGAGUAGUAGACAAGGAACUCACAGAAGAAGAGAGAAUUUGACUGUAAUGUCUAAGCCGAAAAAAGACAUGCUGAAGCAAUUAGAGGCAGUACCAGUGCACUGCAAACCAGGACCAAGACUGAGAGAAGCAGAAGUGUAUGAUUCCAUCCAGACCAUAUAGACAGAUAGGGAUCCCUGCUGUGCCUCCUGACCAUGCCUGGCCUCUUUACUCCCACUUCGUUGUGCCAAACCCAGCAAUGUAUCAAUGAAGUGACUCUGAGGGCAUCCCCUGCUGCCUUCUCCAGCUUGUUGGAGAUCAAAGUCUCAAGAACAAUGACACGGUUAACCAUUGGAUGAUGUCACUGUUAUAUUUCCAGGUUUGGCAUGUGGUGGUGGAAGCAGAUGGAUGGGGCAUGCAUCCCCUGCAACUGUGGAGGCAUGAUCUAAAUGUACCCUGUAGAGGCCUGACAUCAGGGGGAGGGUGCCCUCAAGAAGACAAGAAGGGGUAGGAGGCACCAUUUACCUGGAAACUGUGACCAGGGGUGACUAGGGGUUAUCAACCAGAGGUAUGCAUACUCCUAGGAGUACUUGGACCGGUCCUAGGGGGUACGUGCAGGCAGGUGAGGAUGGAGUGCCACCACCUCCCAGGAGCAGGGCCAGGGUGGGGCAGGGCGAGGGCAGCGGUGCCCUUCUGCGGGGCAGGGAAGCUCGCAGCAGUGGCUGCCACCACCACACACCAGCCUGGUGAGCUUCCC
Alligator mississippiensis (American alligator) is the source of this 909-nucleotide long non-coding RNA. RefSeq lists it as uncharacterized. The record is from RefSeq and is a predicted model, not a curated record. Lineage: Eukaryota; Metazoa; Chordata; Crocodylia; Alligatoridae. The transcript is spliced from 3 exons.